RNAcentral lists this non-coding RNA (323 nucleotides) under Opisthocomus hoazin. RNAcentral describes it as "Eukaryotic large subunit ribosomal RNA". It matches the Rfam family "Eukaryotic large subunit ribosomal RNA", at positions 675 to 954 of the family's 3401-position model. Lineage: Eukaryota; Metazoa; Chordata; Aves; Opisthocomiformes; Opisthocomidae. The record is from Rfam by way of RNAcentral.
CUAGCACGUGCACGACUCAGGGGCUGUCCUGAAAGCCCGCGGAGCAAUGAAGGUGAGGGCUGACAUGCAUCAGCUGAGGUGAGAUCCUGGGGUGCAUAGAUCAAGAAGCCCCAGGUGCACCACUGGCCCAUCUCACCCGCACUGCCUGGCCGAGGAGGUGGAGCGUGAACAUCCAUGCUAGAACCCAAAAGAUGGUGAACCGUGCCUGGGCAGGGUGAAGCCAGACCAAAUUUUGGUGGAGGUCCAUAGCGGUCCUGACAUGAAAACCAGUCUUCCCACCUGGGUCUAGGGGAGAAAGACUUGUCGAACCAUCUAGUAGCUGA